GGUUUUGGAUACUUCGGCCAAAGCUCGAAAACUUCAGAAGAUAAGCAGUAAAUUGGGUGUCUGUGCUCUGUUUACUGUCGAAAAUCAAACGCAGAAUAAGCAUGUAGAAAUCUUAUGUGUUGCUUGUUUGGACGAGGGUUCGAAUCCCUCCAACUCCACUU
This 161-nucleotide transfer-messenger RNA is filed under the name Flavobacteriales bacterium. RNAcentral describes it as "partial transfer-messenger RNA". It matches the Rfam family "transfer-messenger RNA", at positions 207 to 374 of the family's 374-position model. From Rfam's summary of the family: Bacterial tmRNA, also known as 10Sa RNA or SsrA, is named for its dual tRNA and mRNA-like properties. Its role is to liberate the mRNA from a stalled ribosome. The record is from RNAcentral. RNAcentral also lists the same sequence under 1 other name. Lineage: Bacteria; Pseudomonadati; Bacteroidota; Flavobacteriia; Flavobacteriales.